AGGUGACGAAGCGACGCCGCGUGGGUGAGGAAGGCCCUCGGGUUGUAAAGCCCUGUCAGGAGUUUAGAAAUGUAGGUACGCUAAUGUCGUAUCUAUUUGACAAAGGCUCCAAAGGAAGCCACGGCUAACUUUGUGCCAGCAGCCGCGGUAAUACAGAGGUGGCAAGCGUUGUUCGGAAUUAUUGGGCGUAAAGAGCACGUAGGUGGAUUUGUAAGUCAGAUGUGAAAGCCUUCUGUUCAACGGGAGAAUUGCAUCUGAAACUACAAACCUUGAGUAUAGGAGGGGAGAAUGGAACUUCUGGUGGAGCGGUGAAAUGCGUAGAUAUCAGAAGGGGCGCCGGCGGCGAAAGCGAUUCUCUGGCCUAUUACUGACACUCAGUGUGCGAAAGCUAGGGGAGCAAACGGGAUUAGAUACCCCGGUAGUCCUAGCCGUAAACGACGGGCACUAAGUAGAGG
This 455-nucleotide ribosomal RNA is filed under the name uncultured anaerobic ammonium-oxidizing bacterium. Its description in RNAcentral is "bacterial SSU rRNA". It matches the Rfam family "Bacterial small subunit ribosomal RNA", at positions 381 to 826 of the family's 1533-position model. The record is from RNAcentral.